GGAUUGCNUCAGUAACGGCGAGUGAAGCGGCAACAGCUCAAAUUUGAAAUCUGACCCCUUCGGGGCCCGAGUUGUAAUUUGUAGAGGACGCUUCGGGUGCGGCGUCGGUCUAAGUUCCUUGGAACAGGGCGUCAUAGAGGGUGAGAAUCCCGUAUGCGACCGGCGACCAACCCCAUGUGAAGCCCCUUCGACGAGUCGAGUUGUUUGGGAAUGCAGCUCAAAAUGGGUGGUAAAUUUCAUCUAAAGCUAAAUACCGGCCAGAGACCGAUAGCGCACAAGUAGAGUGAUCGAAAGAUGAAAAGCACUUUGGAAAGAGAGUCAAACAGUACGUGAAAUUGUUGAAAGGGAAGCGCUUGCAACCAGACCUGCCCGCGGGCGAUCAGCCGUUAUUCUUAGCGGUGCACUCGCCCGCGAUCAGGCCAGCAUCGGUUCGGGCGGCCGGAUAAAGGCCCCGGGAAUGUAGCUCCCUCCGGGGAGUCUUAUAGCCCGGGGUGCAAUGCGGCCAGCCCGGACCGAGGACCGCGCUUCGGCUAGGAUGCUGGCAUAAUGGUUGUAAGCGACCCGUCUUGAAACACGGACCAAGGAGUCUAACAUCUAUGCGAGUGUUUGGGUGUCAAACCCAUGCGCGGAAUGAAAGUGAACGGAGGUGGGAACCCGCGAGGGCGCACCAUCGACCGAUCCAGAUGUCUUCGGAUGGAUUUGAGUAGGAGCAUAGCUGUUGGGACCCGAAAGAUGGUGAACUAUGCCUGAAUAGGGUGAAGCCAGAGGAAACUCUGGUGGAGGCUCGCAGCGGUUCUGACGUGCAAAUCGAUCGUCAAAUUUGGGUAUAGGGGCGAAAGACUAAUCGAACCAUCUAGUAGCUGGUUCCUGCCGAAGUUUCCCUCAGGAUAGCAGUAACGUUUUCAGUUUUAUGAGGUAAAGCGAAUGAUUAGAGGCCUUGGGGUUGAAACAACCUUAACCUAUUCUCAAACUUUAAAUAUGUAAGAAGUCCUUGUUACUUAGUUGAACGUGGACAUUUGAAUGCACCGUUACUAGUGGGCCAUUUUUGGUAAGCAGAACUGGCGAUGCGGGAUGAACCGAACGCGAGGUUAAGGUGCCGGAAUGCACGCUCAUCAGACACCACAAAAGGUGUUAGUUCAUCCAGACAGCCGGACGGUGGCCAUGGAAGUCGGAAACCGCUAAGGAGUGCAUUUUUUAUUUAUUUAAAUUUAACGUGGCAGCACCCAUUGUACAAACGUUGUUACAUGCUCCUAAGAGAUAUCUCUAGGGUAUCUAGAGCGAAAAGAAAAGGUUGAUCAAGAGAAAUCCUCUUGAAUUUAUCAACCUUUUCUUUUUUUUACUCGAUCGUUCAAAAAUCGUGGAAAUGUCGAUCGAAUCACAAGUUCGGACAGCAUAUCGCGAGCCUAUUCGAUAUCAUUUGCGAGUAUUCAAUAGGUCCACAGACUAAACUGAACGGGACUCUGCGAGUCUCUGAUAUAGUCGAGUCCACGUCCGAAAGGAAGUGGCGUGAGGAAUAUUCUCGACGAAUUCUCGUGUUUUCAAAUGAACAUGAAAAACAGUCGACGGCAUUCCUUGCUCUCACGGUGUAACAACUCACCGGCCGAAUGAACUAGCCCUGAAAAUGGAUGGCGCUCAAGCGUGCUACCCAUACCUCGCCGCCAGGGUAGAAACGAUGCCCU
RNAcentral lists this ribosomal RNA (1679 nucleotides) under Porpidia carlottiana. Its description in RNAcentral is "LSU rRNA". It matches the Rfam family "Eukaryotic large subunit ribosomal RNA", at positions 72 to 1375 of the family's 3401-position model. The record is from RNAcentral. Lineage: Eukaryota; Fungi; Ascomycota; Lecanoromycetes; Lecideales; Lecideaceae.